This is a small nuclear RNA of Suncus etruscus (white-toothed pygmy shrew), 105 nucleotides long. The record is from RefSeq and is a predicted model, not a curated record. NCBI's taxonomy places the organism in Eukaryota, Metazoa, Chordata, Mammalia, Eulipotyphla, Soricidae.
GUGCUCGCUUCGGCAGCACAUAUACUAAUUGGAACGAUACAGAGAAGAUUAGUAUGACCUGUGCGCAAGGAUGACAUGCAAAUUCAUGAAAUGUUAAAACUAAAA